CCUACGGGUGGCAGCAGUGGGGGAUAUUCCACAAUGGGGGAAACCCUGAUGCAGCAACGCCGCGUGUGGGAAGAAGGUUUUCGGAUUGUAAACCUCUGUUCUUGGUGAAGCUAAUGACGGUAACCAAGGAGAAAGCUCCGGCUAACUACGUGCCAGCAGCCGCGGUAAUACGGAGGGAGCAAGCGUUGUCCGGAUUUACUGGGUGUAAAGGGUGUGUAGGCGGUUUUGCAAGUCCGACGUGAAGACCAUGGGCUCAACCUGUGGACUGCGUUUGAAACUGGGGGGCUUGAGUGAAGUAGAGGUAGGCGGAAUGCCCGGUGUAGCGGUGAAAUGCGUAGAGAUCGGGAGGAACACCAGUGGCGAAGGCGGCCUACUGGGCUUUAACUGACGCUGAGGCACGAAAGCAUGGGUAGCGAACAGGAUUAGAUACCCGUGUAGUC
RNAcentral lists this ribosomal RNA (440 nucleotides) under uncultured bacterium. RNAcentral's name for it is "partial 16S ribosomal RNA". It matches the Rfam family "Bacterial small subunit ribosomal RNA", at positions 338 to 795 of the family's 1533-position model. The record is from RNAcentral.